CUAAUGGGCAAAGAAAGACCUUACUAUUAGCUUCUAUAUAGACAAAAUGCACCCAAGAGGUGCAUUUUGUUUGUCAUUUUGUUGCCUAUUCAAUA
RNAcentral lists this small nucleolar RNA (95 nucleotides) under Prevotella sp. oral taxon 306 str. F0472. RNAcentral describes it as "putative Small nucleolar RNA SNORD91 family". The record is from RNAcentral. Lineage: Bacteria; Pseudomonadati; Bacteroidota; Bacteroidia; Bacteroidales; Prevotellaceae.